CUUCUAAAUUGCUCAAGAGAUGGUGAAAGAUAGGAAAGCUGAGGCAGUAAGGAUAUCACAAAGGAAAACUAUGGAGGUGGAACUGAUGGGAUUAAUAAGAAACCAGGCAUGAGAAGCCAUGCAGAUGUAAAUUUGGAAAUCAACAUAUUGAUAGUUGGAGUCACUGGAGUAGGAUGUCUGCCAGCUCCUCUCCAGCCACCCAUUCUCAUAGCGGGUGAGCCAGACCACAUCUGCUAAUCCAGGAGCACAGCUCAGGACUAGUCUAUGCGGAUGGAAUCUCUCUCCAGCCUUUUCUCUAUGUCAGUUUUAUCUACCUGGCAAGAAAAAACAAAAACAACCCCAAAACAACCCCUCCCCACAAACACAACACAAAACAAGGGACUCGAAAAGUUGGAGAAAACCUUUUAAUGUGUUUCUGUAAAAUCCUUUCUUAGGAGGUUUAGUACAGGUACUACCCAUCAGCAACUUAGCCGGCCAGGUGAGUUGGUGCAGAAGGGCUUCGGCUGAAUUUAUACCAGAGCCAUCGGGAGUGACUUGGCCACCUCUCCCAAUUACCACAAGGAAGUCUUAAAAUUGAAUUUCAGUUUCAGCAGAUACUUCAGAUUUACCUGAGCAAUAUCAUAGACAAUGUACUCAUUAUAUAGUAGACAAGUGUCAUUCACACCAGAUGAAAUCCCAGUCCCAAGAGGAACCUCUGCACCAUCCAGAGUAAUACUAGCUGAAGGGUCAGGGGUAGUUUUGCCCAAACCUUUGACACUGUGCUUGCCCUUGGGUAACUUGCUGAUAUGUGAAGCGUGCUUCAGUUCAUACAUUUUCCAAGGGCAACUUCUCCCAACAGGAUUAAGCCUGUUGGGCCUCCCUGAGAUGUAUGGCAGUAGUUGGCACUCUUGGAGGCCAUGUCAGCGAAAUAGAUCCCUUUACCAAACAUGUAGCCCGUCAUGGGCACUUCAGGCGGGGCUAUCCAAAGACC
RNAcentral lists this long non-coding RNA (970 nucleotides) under Homo sapiens (human). RNAcentral's name for it is "HSALNT0377476". Lineage: Eukaryota; Metazoa; Chordata; Mammalia; Primates; Hominidae. The record is from RNAcentral.